AUAAGGAGCUUGCUCCUUUGACGUUAGCGGCGGACGGGUGAGUAACACGUGGAUAACCUACCUAUAAGACUGGGAUAACUUCGGGAAACCGGAGCUAAUACCGGAUAAGAUUUUGAACCGCAUGGUUCAAUAGUGAAAGACGGCCUUGCUGUCACUUAUAGAUGGAUCCGCGCCGUAUUAGCUAGUUGGUAAGGUAACGGCUUACCAAGGCAACGAUACGUAGCCGACCUGAGAGGGUGAUCGGCCACACUGGAACUGAGACACGGUCCAGACUCCUACGGGAGGCAGCAGUAGGGAAUCUUCCGCAAUGGGCGAAAGCCUGACGGAGCAACGCCGCGUGAGUGAUGAAGGUCUUCGGAUCGUAAAACUCUGUUAUCAGGGAAGAACAAACGUGUAAGUAACUGUGCACGUCUUGACGGUACCUGAUCAGAAAGCCACGGCUAACUACGUG
This 451-nucleotide ribosomal RNA is filed under the name uncultured bacterium. RNAcentral describes it as "bacterial SSU rRNA". It matches the Rfam family "Bacterial small subunit ribosomal RNA", at positions 71 to 507 of the family's 1533-position model. The record is from RNAcentral.